UUCAAAUCCAGUGUGAUGAUUGGUGAGUAGAAUAGUAGGCGAAUCAUACAAUUCCGGUAGGUUUUGCUUUUCUUCCUAUUAGUUCACAGUCAGUUAUAAUAUAGCUGGCAGUUAGUUAACUCAACUUUUCUCUAUUUAUAUAGUUCAUUGUAAUGCAUACAGUGACUUGAAAUGAAUGUGAAAUCAGUUUCUCAUUUUCAUGUUUUCCCACCUCAAUAUGAUAUCAGAGCAACUUCUCCGUUGCCACUAAAACUUUGAGAUCAAAUUGAUUCCGGUAAUUGAGAUAGUUUAGAUUGAGAGUUUCAAUCAUCCAUGGCUGCAGAGCAAUCGA
RNAcentral lists this long non-coding RNA (331 nucleotides) under Olea europaea (common olive). Its description in RNAcentral is "long non-coding RNA (OEUR_LNC011399)". Lineage: Eukaryota; Viridiplantae; Streptophyta; Magnoliopsida; Lamiales; Oleaceae. The record is from RNAcentral.